Podarcis lilfordi (Lilford's wall lizard) is the source of this 80-nucleotide non-coding RNA. Lineage: Eukaryota; Metazoa; Chordata; Lepidosauria; Squamata; Lacertidae. The record is from the annotation of a GenBank genome assembly.
UUUUUCACAGCUCAGCAGCUGGAGAGCGUGAGACUCUUAAUCUCAGGGUCGUGGGUUCGAAACCUACAUUGGGGGGAAAG